UGUGGCUGACAAUCAAGGAUUAACAAAGCCAAAUCGUCAACUAUCAGCCUAUGGGAAAGCGCAGCAGCGCAA
Long non-coding RNA from Sander lucioperca (pikeperch), 72 nucleotides. RefSeq lists it as uncharacterized. Lineage: Eukaryota; Metazoa; Chordata; Actinopteri; Perciformes; Percidae. The transcript is spliced from 3 exons. The record is from RefSeq and is a predicted model, not a curated record.